This 388-nucleotide ribosomal RNA is filed under the name Perca flavescens (yellow perch). Its description in RNAcentral is "partial 12S ribosomal RNA". It matches the Rfam family "Bacterial small subunit ribosomal RNA", at positions 795 to 1386 of the family's 1533-position model. Lineage: Eukaryota; Metazoa; Chordata; Actinopteri; Perciformes; Percidae. The record is from RNAcentral.
CCUAGCCAUAAACAUUGGUAGCACAUUACACCCACUACCCGCCUGGGAACUACGAGCAUCAGCUUGAAACCCAAAGGACUUGGCGGUGCUUUAGAUCCACCUAGAGGAGCCUGUUCUAGAACCGAUAACCCCCGUUCAACCUCACCUUUCCUUGUCUCUCCCGCCUAUAUACCGCCGUCGUCAGCUUACCCUGUGAAGGUUAAAUAGUAAGCAAAAUUGGUACAACCUAAAACGUCAGGUCGAGGUGUAGCGUAUGGGAAGGGAAGAAAUGGGCUACAUUUCCUACUACAGGAAAUACGAAUGAUGUACUGAAACGUAUAUCUGAAGGAGGAUUUAGCAGUAAGCAGGAAAUAGAGCGUCCCGCUGAAAUUGGCCCUGAAGCGCGCAC